This 498-nucleotide ribosomal RNA is filed under the name uncultured bacterium. Its description in RNAcentral is "partial 16S ribosomal RNA". It matches the Rfam family "Bacterial small subunit ribosomal RNA", at positions 29 to 523 of the family's 1533-position model. The record is from RNAcentral.
AUUGAACGCUGGCGGCAUGCCUUACACAUGCAAGUCGAACGGUAACGCGGGGCAACCUGGCGACGAGUGGCGAACGGGUGAGUAAUGCAUCGGAACGUGCCCAGUAGUGGGGGAUAGCCCGGCGAAAGCCGGAUUAAUACCGCAUACGACCUAAGGGUGAAAGGGGGGGAUCGCAAGACCUCUCGCUAUUGGAGCGGCCGAUGUCAGAUUAGGUAGUUGGUGGGGUAAAGGCCUACCAAGCCGACGAUCUGUAGCUGGUCUGAGAGGACGAGCAGCCACACUGGGACUGAGACACGGCCCAGACUCCUACGGGAGGCAGCAGUGGGGAAUUUUGGACAAUGGACGCAAGCCUGAUCCAGCCAUGCCGCGUGCGGGAAGAAGGCCUUCGGGUUGUAAACCGCUUUUGUCAGGGAAGAAAUCUUCUGGGCUAAUACCUCGGGAGGAUGACGGUACCUGAAGAAUAAGCACCGGCUAACUACGUGCCAGCCGCCGCAGUAA